RNAcentral lists this ribosomal RNA (402 nucleotides) under uncultured bacterium. Its description in RNAcentral is "bacterial SSU rRNA". It matches the Rfam family "Bacterial small subunit ribosomal RNA", at positions 355 to 774 of the family's 1533-position model. The record is from RNAcentral.
UGGGGAAUCUUGCACAAUGGGGGCAACCCUGAUGCAGCGACGCCGCGUGAGCGAUGAAGCCCUUCGGGGCGUAAAGCUCUUUCGACCGGAACGAUAAUGACGGUACCGGGAGAAGAAGCUGCGGCUAACUACGUGCCAGCAGCCGCGGUAAUACGUAGGCAGCAAGCGUUGUUCGGAGUUACUGGGCGUAAAGAGUGCGUAGGCGGUUUUCUAAGUUCGGUGUGAAAUCUCCCGGCUUAACUGGGAGGGUGCGCCGAAGACUGGGAAGCUGGAGUGUGGGAAAGGCAGGCGGAAUUCCUGGUGUAGCGGUGAAAAGCGUAGAUAUCAGGAGGAACACCCGCGGUGUAGACGGCUUGCUAGACCAUAACUGACGCUGAGGCACGAAAGCGUGGGUAGCAAACA